GGCAUUUGUACACCAGUUGGACUGAGGCAUUUGAACCCUUUAUGUGAGUUACUAAAGCCAAGAAAUACACAUUUUGUAGAAUGAAAGUUGAAUUUGUGUUUUUGGUAUGGUCUAAGGCAAGGAAAACAGGCACAUCCAAAGACUUUUAUGAAUUUAUAGUUAACUUACUCAUUGUAUAGCAGUUGACAGGGUGAUUUCAUGUCGAGGACUAAUGUUCGCAACCUAUAAAUCAAAUAAGUAGCAGUUUGAAAGGACUCUCACCAAUAGUGCAAGGGCAUACUAGCUUCGGCAAAAGAUGUCAGUCUGAUUUCUGUUAUAUGCUUGUGUUUUCUUUCAGAUCUACCAUUUUGGACUGAGGUGUGAGGACAGGAAAGUCUCAUAUCAAUACCAGAUUGGAGAGCUAAGUUAGUAAAAGCUCUAAACUCACAUCCCCAAUCUGAUUGAAGUGCCUUAAUCUUCUUGUCAAGUUUAUUUUCGACUAAGCUUUUGAAUUGAAUAAACACACCUAGGGCAUCUGAUUUAUUUCUCAUAGGAUAUAUCUAGGUAUACCUACUGUAGUCGUCAAUGAAAAGGAUAUAGUAUCUAAAAGCAUUUGUAGAGUUUAGGGGUGCAAGAACCCAGGCAUCUGUAUAGAUUAGGUCUAGGGGGCUGAGGCAUGUGAGAUGGACAAUAUAAAUGGUAGAGAAUGUGAUUUACCAAAUUGGCAGGCAUCACGGAAAUGAUUGUUUUCAUUGUCAUGAAUUUUUUUAUUACAAGACUUGAGCACUUGUGACAUCACACGAUUGGCAAGAUGUCCAAGUCUCAUAUGCCAUAUUUCAAAACUAGACUCUGACUUUCUAGCACUUUUGGGAACAUCAGACACUUUGGACUUGACUACAGAACUUGAGAAAUUCGACUUAUUGGGGUAGACUGACACUUGGUAGGAAGACCUUUUUGUUGGUUCAUUUGGGUGUUCAACCUGAUACAAUCCAUCUUUAAGCUUUCCCUACAGAAGUAACUUCUGGGUUUGUUUGUCCUUAAUAGCACAAGAGUCAGAGUGAAAUUCCAUAAAAACACUGUUGUCAGAAGUUAACUGUGAAACAGUCACCAGAUUUUUCUUAAUUGAUGGCACCAACAAUGUGUUACUGAGAAUUAAUGACUUGUGAUUCAAAGUUUUCAAGUGUUUGGUGCCAACAUGUGAGAUUUGAAGUUCAUUUCCAUUUCCUACAGUAAGACUUUCCUUACCAUUAUACUCACGAGCUUCAAUCAGAUUUUCUUUCACAGCAGUAACAUGAUUACUUGCUCCUGAAUCAGCAUACCAGGCUGGAUCUACAACAAUACUUGGUAAAGUCACAACAACAGCUGGUCCUAAGCGAUUGUUCUGGUAUUGGCGAUUAGGUUUGGUACCCAUGUAUCUUUCAUCAUAGCGAUUGAAGCAUCUUUCUAUUGAGUGAUUAUUCAUUCCACAGAUUUGACAUGGGCCCUUUUCUCCAAUUUGCCUACUUCUUCUACCUCUGCUUCUUCCCAUAGAGUUACUAUUUCUACCACCAAAAUUAGUGUUUGACUUAUGCACAAAGUUUGCUGAGACCUGGCUUAAGUUUACUAAGACCAUGUUGUUUUUCACAGCAUUCAGAUGUUCAAGCCUGCUCUCAUAAGUCAUAAGUGUGGAUUGUAGCUCAUGCCAAGAGAUGGAAUCUCUGCUGUUAAUUUGAACCACAAUAGGAGUGUAAUCCUCAUCCAAUCCAGCUAAUACUUGGCUCACAAGGUCAUUGUGAGAAACCCUUUUUCCUGCAAUUUCGAGGUUAUCUACUAGCUGCUUGACUAUGUUCAGCUAUUGAUCAAUACUCAUUGAGCCCUUUCUUGUUCUCUGAAGUUCACCAAUAAGAAAGGUGACUCUAGACUUGUUCAUAACUCCAAAACUUUCCUCGACAGCAUUCCGCAGAUCACAAGAGUUUGAAGAUCCCAUUACUCUCAUGGCAAUCUCUGGUGUCAUUGAAGUAAAAAGCCAGCCCAUCAGUAGUUGAUCAGUGGACAUCCAUUUUCCAUACUCAACAUUUGGUGUCAAUUCAAUAGUUACAUCAGUUGAACCAGUGGUUUGUGUAGCCAGGAAUUUUGAUGGACAUUUGCUUGUGCCUGAGAUGAACCCUUCAAGGUUAUGGCCUUAAUGAUGGGCAUAACCAUGUUCUUCCACACCAGAAAUUUAUUUCUGUCUAGCUUUACUGGAGGAAAUUGGGUAAGACUUAUCCCAAAUGAUGUCAUUUGAUUUCCUCCCAACAUUGGAGGCAUCAACAUGCUUGAUGUUGGUUGAGCAGACUGCACUGUUGUUGGAUCCGGCGUUGGCCAUUGAAAUGCUCUAAUACCAUGACAAAAUUUAGAUACAAUUGCAAAGAACUUUUG
This 2376-nucleotide long non-coding RNA is filed under the name Olea europaea subsp. europaea. The record is from RNAcentral. Lineage: Eukaryota; Viridiplantae; Streptophyta; Magnoliopsida; Lamiales; Oleaceae.